Molecule: ribosomal RNA, 253 nt
Filed under: uncultured bacterium
Lineage: Bacteria
Description: partial 16S ribosomal RNA
Rfam family: Bacterial small subunit ribosomal RNA
Source: RNAcentral
UACGUAGGGUGCGAGCGUUAAUCGGAAUUACUGGGCGUAAAGCGUGCGCAGGCGGUUUUGUAAGCCAGAUGUGAAAUCCCCGGGCUUAACCUGGGAAUGGCAUUUGGGACUGCAAGGCUGGAGUGCGGCAGAGGAGACUGGAAUUCCUGGUGUAGCAGUGAAAUGCGUAGAUAUCAGGAGGAAUACCGGUGGCGAAAGCGACUCUCUGGACGGCAACUGACGCUGAGGCACGAAAGCGUGGGGAGCAAACAGG